RNAcentral lists this ribosomal RNA (452 nucleotides) under uncultured Corynebacterium sp. Its description in RNAcentral is "bacterial SSU rRNA". It matches the Rfam family "Bacterial small subunit ribosomal RNA", at positions 338 to 795 of the family's 1533-position model. Lineage: Bacteria; Bacillati; Actinomycetota; Actinomycetes; Mycobacteriales; Corynebacteriaceae. The record is from RNAcentral.
CCUACGGGUGGCUGCAGUGGGGAAUAUUGCACAAUGGGCGCAAGCCUGAUGCAGCGACGCCGCGUGGGGGAUGACGGCCUUCGGGUUGUAAACUCCUUUCAGCCAUGACGAAGCCUCUUUUGGGGUGACGGUAGUGGUAGAAGAAGCACCGGCUAACUACGUGCCAGCAGCCGCGGUAAUACGUAGGGUGCGAGCGUUGUCCGGAAUUACUGGGCGUAAAGAGCUCGUAGGGGGUCUGUCGCGUCAUUUGUGAAAGCCCGGGGCUUAACUCCGGGUUGGCAGGUGAUACGGGCAUGACUGGAGUACUGUAGGGGAGACUGGAAUUCCUGGUGUAGCGGUGAAAUGCGCAGAUAUCAGGAGGAACACCGGUGGCGAAGGCGGGUCUCUGGGCAGUAACUGACGCUGAGGAGCGAAAGCAUGGGUAGCGAACAGGAUUAGAUACCCCUGUAGUC